AUUAUUUCAUUCUAUAUGCACCACAGAUCCAUUAUCACUAAAUAUUAGAUACUUAAAACAGUCUAAUAGCUUUAAUUCUUUGUCACCCAUAAAGGAUGCAGUGGUUGCUUCAACCGUAGAACCAAUCUGAACAACAGGUUCUGUUGACCAAAACUACAUUCAACAGGUUCAUCAAUGUUCAAACCAUUUACUAAUAUGACAGAAAUAUGGGUAACCAAGCACUGCAGAUAAAGAGGCAAAUCACUAGCUUGAACUUUGCCAUUAACAUUGUGAUGUUAUUUAUACCCCACAGCACAGAAACAAGAGAGCGCCACGGUCCCAUCACACAACUCAUGGCCAUCAGAAAGGGAUCACUUUUCAUGGCCACGAAACAGUUUUGAACCUGCCAAAUUGACAAGACUCCAACCAUUUUAGAUCGUUUUCUCAAAACAUACAUAAAUUGGGUUCAUUCAAAGUAAUCACAGUUCUCAUCAAAACAGCACAGAAGUUCAUGACCGGUUCUGGGACGGCAUCCUCUCAGACCCAUGUCUCGGUCGGAAGCUGCCAGCUCGGCUACCACUAUCAGAUCCAACACCUGUGUGAUGAAAUGGCCCCCAAAUAGGAUCUCUGUCAACCUGACUCAAGGGGAAGGCGGGCAAGUGUUCUCGUUCCCAAGCGUGAUAUCUGUUUGAUACUGGAUUUUCUGCUUCUUGGAAAUUUCUUCCUGAAGAACUUGAAGGAUAGAAGUAGAAGCCACCAGCCUGAUCAGAUGAUGAGGCAGCCGGCCCCACUUGAGCCAACCCUCUGUGAUUGUUGGAUCGUCGAGUAGCAGACAUAACAGGAGUGCGUACAGCUGGUGAAUUACUUGGUUGCUGAAAAUAGGCUUGAAGAGCUUGAACACGGUCACGAGCCCGAGCUACACUUCCAGGAUAAGGAGGUAUCAUUGGUGAAGCAACUGAACUUCCAGCUCUGGCAGCAGAACCGUGACCAACAAGGAAUGGAGGGACAAAAGAUCCUGGUCUUGGGAUAUCAGCAUUGGUCCUGGCAACUCUCUGAGUAACAGAGGGAACCGAGGACUGAUCAGCAGUACCAACACGACUGCUUGCCAUAGGGAAAGAAGAAUGAUGAUCCCAACUAUGAUAAUGCACAUCCAUUCCUGGGAAAGCAUAAGAAGCAGGUAUCUCGUUGGGAACAGAUGGACUAGUCCAGUGAUUGUUGAAAUUAGGACCAUCAUUGAUACUUCCACUCGAAUUUGAGGAUGAUGGGUGAAUUCCAACAUAGGCAAUAUACGGGCAUGGAUGAGCAGCAGAUGAUACAGCUGUGUGAUCAGCAAAUAUAGCAUGCUGACCAAGAAGAUCAUGAUAUGCACUAGAUGAAAGCUCCCCUUCGUCAAAAGAUGCUGGUAGUCGAGUCAAUCCACUAAACGGACACCAGUGAACUCCAAAUGACAUUUCAGUGUAGCUCAGAUCAUAUAGGUCUUCAUCAUGGGCCCAAUCUUCCAUGUUGAAAUCUGGUAGGGGACGGCAACCACUUGCAUAUAGCCAUUGACCCUUCUCAAUUUUCCGACAGUUGGGACACUGCAUUUGCCCCUUGAUGUUAAAGGCAGAACCAAUGCAAUCAAGAUGA
Molecule: unclassified non-coding RNA, 1605 nt
Filed under: Hevea brasiliensis (rubber tree)
Lineage: Eukaryota; Viridiplantae; Streptophyta; Magnoliopsida; Malpighiales; Euphorbiaceae
Source: RNAcentral